This 106-nucleotide ribosomal RNA is filed under the name Microcebus murinus (gray mouse lemur). The record is from RNAcentral. Lineage: Eukaryota; Metazoa; Chordata; Mammalia; Primates; Cheirogaleidae.
AUCUACAGCCACACCACCCUGAACUUGCCUGAUCUCAGAAGCUAAGCAUGGUAGGGCCUGGUUAGUACUUGGAUAGGAGAAUAUCAUAAUACUAGUAUUGUUCACU